UUCCUGUAGGUGAACCUGCGGAAAGGAUCAUUA
RNAcentral lists this ribosomal RNA (33 nucleotides) under Aspergillus oryzae. RNAcentral describes it as "partial 18S ribosomal RNA". The record is from RNAcentral. Lineage: Eukaryota; Fungi; Ascomycota; Eurotiomycetes; Eurotiales; Aspergillaceae.